RNAcentral lists this ribosomal RNA (263 nucleotides) under uncultured bacterium. RNAcentral's name for it is "partial 16S ribosomal RNA". It matches the Rfam family "Bacterial small subunit ribosomal RNA", at positions 524 to 782 of the family's 1533-position model. The record is from RNAcentral.
UACAGAGGGUGCGAGCGUUGUCCGGAAUCACUGGGCGUAAAGGGCGCGUAGGUGGCAGGGUAAGCGUGCGGUGAAAAGCCCCGGAGCUCAACUCCGGGUCGGCCGUGCGAACUGCUUUGCUCGAGCACUGUAGAGGCAGGUGGAAUUCCGGGUGUAGCGGUGGAAUGCGUAGAGAUCUGCAAGAAUACCCGUGGCGAAGGCGGCCAGCUGGGCCGGGUUCUGACGCUGGAGGCGCGAAAGCGUGGGGAGCAAACAGGAUUGAG